Molecule: ribosomal RNA, 252 nt
Filed under: uncultured soil bacterium
Lineage: Bacteria
Description: partial 16S ribosomal RNA
Rfam family: Bacterial small subunit ribosomal RNA
Source: RNAcentral
AGAUUGAACGCUGGCGGCAUGCCUUACACAUGCAAGUCGAACGGCAGCACGGGAGCAAUCCUGGUGGCGAGUGGCGAACGGGUGAGUAAUACAUCGGAACGUGCCCAAUCGUGGGGGAUAACGCAGCGAAAGCCGUGCUAAUACCGCAUAAGAUCUACGGAUGAAAGCAGGGGAUCGCAAGACCUUGCGCGAAUGGAGCGGCCGAUGGCAGAUUAGGUAGUUGGUGAGGUAAAGGCUCACCAAGCCUUCGAU